This 243-nucleotide ribosomal RNA is filed under the name uncultured Actinomycetales bacterium. Its description in RNAcentral is "partial 16S ribosomal RNA". It matches the Rfam family "Bacterial small subunit ribosomal RNA", at positions 88 to 334 of the family's 1533-position model. The record is from RNAcentral. Lineage: Bacteria; Bacillati; Actinomycetota; Actinomycetes; Actinomycetales.
UACUCGAGUGGCGAACGGGUGAGUAACACGUGGGUGAUCUGCCCUGCACUUCGGGAUAAGCCUGGGAAACUGGGUCUAAUACCGGAUAGUAUCCAUUUUUAGUGUGAUGGUUGGAAAGUUUUUUCGGUGUAGGAUGAGCUCGCGGCCUAUCAGCUUGUUGGUGGGGUAAUGGCCUACCAAGGCGGCGACGGGUAGCCGGCCUGAGAGGGUGGACGGCCACAUUGGGACUGAGAUGCGGCCCAG